Punica granatum (pomegranate) is the source of this 1734-nucleotide non-coding RNA. Lineage: Eukaryota; Viridiplantae; Streptophyta; Magnoliopsida; Myrtales; Lythraceae. The record is from RefSeq and is a predicted model, not a curated record.
CACAACGCACACCCAGCGAUCACAAUAGGACAGGGACAGGACAGGAGCAAAGCGAAAGUAAAACCCACACUCUCUUCUUCAGGUUCUGGUGCUGGUGACGCAGGCGCAGGCGCUGCGCUUCAAUAAUAAAAAAAUCCCCCUCCUCUUGUUAAUCAGGAUGAGCAAGAAGGCAUAAGAAAGAGAAGCAGGGCACCCCCGGCGAUGGCAGUGGCGAUGGCGAUGGCGGGAGAGAUAGCACGACCUGGGCCAGGAGAAGAAGAGGAAGAAUAGAAACGGAUGACGCCCUACUCAUCAAACCACUGCAUACUGUUAGUGGGUGAAUUCUCUUUCUCUAAAGGCUUGGCUAUGGCUAUGGCUUUUGGCUCCGCCUCCAACAUUCAUGCUACUUCUUAUGAUACCUACGAUCAGUUGGUGAAGAAAUUCAAGAAGGCAAAAUCAAACUUAGGGAUUUUGAAGGAGCUGGGAGCUUCCUUGACACAUGGAGUAGACACCACGAAAUUGAAAUUGUAUACUGAUUUUCACCUGCAGAUAUUCGAUUGAAUCAUUUUCAACUUUCGUCAUGCAGGCUUCUAUGGGGAGGAAGACAAUAGGCUUAUGAUCAACAUGCAUAGAGCACUUCUGGACGGAUUCUUUUGAAAUGCAGGUGCCAUGCUUCUUCCAAUGGUGAAGUACAUGUAAGCCACAAAAUCAGUCCUCCCUUCAGCAAUUGGAAUAUCGAGGUCAUUGCGUCCCAGAAUUUUCUGGAACUGAUUGAGUGCAUGGAGUUUAGAAAGGAAGACUACCCUGAAUAUAACCAUAAGAAAGGAGCUGGUUCGAGGUGUGACAAACCAUUUCCCCUGGGUGCCUGUAGCACCUUCAAGUUCGGAUUGUCGUACUAAGCGAUAAAGAUGUCCCAGGCAUCGAGGACAAAGCACAUAUACUCCUCGGAAGACCUCCUUAGCAAUGUUUUGGGACCCCAAUCCCAUGGGGGCAGCGGCCACUGAAUUCUUUUGGUCUUACUUAUUCUCACGCUGCACAGCUUCCAAAUGUAGGUUUGAUAGCGGAGCAUGUGAAUCUGGCUCCUGCUAGCAGUGGUCGCAUAAAAGAAAACAUGACUUUGCCAUUUAAGAUAAGCAUUAGAAAUGAAUAUCCAGGGUUAUCUAUUCAGUACUUACAUGACACGAGGAAGGCUCCAGGAACAUUUUAUGAUGUUCAAGGGAGUUCUAUGGCUGGCCACUACCCGGGGGUGUGUGCUGAAAGAUACGAUUCCAGUUUCCCAAGUAGAACCUUAAAUGGAGACUUAUAUGCAGCGCAUGAACUUCAGUGUACAAAAAAGCUUCAGAGCUUUAAGGUUGCAAAGGCGGUCACUACUUCCUGAUCAUCGAUUGAGUGCCAGUGACAGCAGGGAACUUCUGCAAAUAUCUGAAUUAAUCUAAGAAAGUUGAACUAGCUGUUAGAUUCUAGAAUGCUUUGUGGGAUUAGACCUCAAAUAUCCUCUGCGAAUACCGGAUGUUACAUUAGAUGCACCGGAGAGUGGAGACUUCCUCGCCUGCUUCAGAGUGGGAGAUCUCUGUCCUCAACUUAGGGCCAGUUCUUACUGCUUACUGCUGUUGAUGACCUUAGAUGUUGUUAUGUUGUGUCGAUUCUGCUUACUGUUACUACCAAGCACCUAACCUUAAAGGAGAGUUGCUUCAACUUAUGGAUGUUAAAUUGACCAUCUCGUCUAGAUGAAUAAUGUUGAGCUAUUUGAGGGCA